Molecule: ribosomal RNA, 460 nt
Filed under: uncultured bacterium
Lineage: Bacteria
Description: partial 16S ribosomal RNA
Rfam family: Bacterial small subunit ribosomal RNA
Source: RNAcentral
CCUACGGGGGGCAGCAGUGAGGAAUAUUGGUCAAUGGGCGGAAGCCUGAACCAGCCAAGUAGCGUGCAGGAUGACGGCCCUACGGGUUGUAAACUGCUUUUAUCCGGGAAUAACGCGCCUUACGUGUAGGGCUUUGCAUGUACCGUAUGAAUAAGGACCGGCUAAUUCCGUGCCAGCAGCCGCGGUAAUACGGAAGGUCCGGGCGUUAUCCGGAUUUAUUGGGUUUAAAGGGAGCGUAGGCCGCAUGUCAAGCGUGCUGUGAAAUGUCCGGGCUCAACCCGGGCCUUGCAGCGCGAACUGGCGUGCGUGAGUCCGCGGAAGGCAGGCGGAAUUCGUCGUGUAGCGGUGAAAUGCUUAGAUAUGACGAAGAACCCCGAUUGCGAAGGCAGAUUGCUGCAGCGGAACUGACGCUGAUGCUCGAAAGCGCGGGUAUCAAACAGGAUUAGAUACCCGGGUAGUC